RNAcentral lists this Y RNA (101 nucleotides) under Microcebus murinus (gray mouse lemur). RNAcentral describes it as "Y RNA (ENSMICG00000032897.2)". It matches the Rfam family "Y RNA", at positions 20 to 96 of the family's 96-position model. Rfam says of the family: Y RNAs are components of the Ro ribonucleoprotein particle (Ro RNP), in association with Ro60 and La proteins. The Y RNAs and Ro60 and La proteins are well conserved, but the function of the Ro RNP is not known. In humans the RNA component can be one of four small RNAs -- hY1, hY3, hY4 and hY5. The record is from RNAcentral. Lineage: Eukaryota; Metazoa; Chordata; Mammalia; Primates; Cheirogaleidae.
GGUUAGUUUCCUAUUGGAAAAUCUCCAACUAAUUCAUCACAACCAGUUACAGAUUCCUUUGUUCCUUCUCCUUUCCCAUCGCUUCAUUUGACCAGCCUAAA